CAGUCGCCGCGGUAAUACGAAGGGUGCAGGCGUUAAUCGGAAUUACUGGGCGUAAAGCGUGCGUAGGCGGUGAGUUAAGUCUGCUGUGAAAUCCCCGGGCUCAACCUGGGAAUGGCAGUGGAUACUGGCUCGCUAGAGUGUGUCAGAGGAUGGUGGAAUUCCCGGUGUAGCGGUGAAAUGCGUAGAAAUCGGGAGGAACAUCAGUGGCGAAGGCGGCCAUCUGGGACAACACUGACGCUGAGGCACGAAAGCGUGGGGAGCAAACAGGAUUAGAUACCCGCGUAGUCCCUGUCUCUUAUAC
This 301-nucleotide ribosomal RNA is filed under the name uncultured bacterium. RNAcentral's name for it is "partial 16S ribosomal RNA". It matches the Rfam family "Bacterial small subunit ribosomal RNA", at positions 509 to 807 of the family's 1533-position model. The record is from RNAcentral.